GGCCCCUGAACUACACUUCUUCCAAGCCUGAACCAAGCACAAAAAAGUAGAAUGUGCCCUCUCAUCAGCUUCUCCUGGGAAUCACCCAACCACACAUCUCUCUUGCCUUCUCUCAUGUUUGCUCUCAUGCCAGCUGCUUGUCAUGAGAUAUUUUAUGAAGAGGCCCACAUGGCAUAGAAGUGAGGAAGGAUUCCAGCCAACACCUUAUGAGGAGCUGAAACCUUAGUCCAACAGCCACGAGCAACUAAAUCUUGCCAACAACCAUCUGAGUGAGCUAGAAAGCAAAUCUUUUUCAGCUGAGCUUCAAGAGGAGUACAGCCUUGUAAGCCUAAGCUGUUGCCCAAAUUCUUGACCCACAGAGACUG
RNAcentral lists this long non-coding RNA (365 nucleotides) under Homo sapiens (human). RNAcentral describes it as "HSALNT0146693". The record is from RNAcentral. Lineage: Eukaryota; Metazoa; Chordata; Mammalia; Primates; Hominidae.